This 66-nucleotide transfer RNA is filed under the name Abyssibacter profundi. It matches the Rfam family "tRNA". Rfam says of the family: Transfer RNA (tRNA) molecules are approximately 80 nucleotides in length. Their secondary structure includes four short double-helical elements and three loops (D, anti-codon, and T loops). The record is from RNAcentral. Lineage: Bacteria; Pseudomonadati; Pseudomonadota; Gammaproteobacteria; Chromatiales; Oceanococcaceae. RNAcentral also lists the same sequence under 1 other name.
GGCGUAGCUCAGUUGGUAGAGCCCCGGGUUGUGAUCCCGGUGGUCGUGGGUUCAAGUCCCAUCGUC